This 405-nucleotide ribosomal RNA is filed under the name uncultured bacterium. RNAcentral's name for it is "partial 16S ribosomal RNA". It matches the Rfam family "Bacterial small subunit ribosomal RNA", at positions 29 to 526 of the family's 1533-position model. The record is from RNAcentral.
AUUGAACGCUGGCGGCAGGCCUAACACAUGCAAGUCGAGCGAGCGGCGGACGGGAGAGUAAUGUAUGGGGAUCCGCGCGAGAGAGGGGGAUAAACACUGGACACGGUGGCUAACACCGCAUUAUAUGGGAUGAACCCAUAUGGGAAUAGCUAGUAGGUGGGGUAAAGGCCACCUAGGCGACGAUCUCUAGCGGGUCUGAGAGGAUGAACAGCCACACUGGGACUGAGACACGGCCCAGACUCCUACGGGAGGCAGCAGUGGGGAAUAUUGCACAAUGGGCGAAAGCCUGAUGCAGCCAUGCCGCGUGUAUGAAGAAGGCCUUAGGGUUGUAAAGUACUUUCAGCGGGGAGGCGUUACCCACAGAAGAAGCACCGGCUAACUCCGUGCCAGCAGCCGCGGUAAUUC